RNAcentral lists this unclassified non-coding RNA (391 nucleotides) under soil metagenome. RNAcentral's name for it is "partial contains 5.8S ribosomal RNA, internal transcribed spacer 2, and large subunit ribosomal RNA". The stretch from base 1 to 122 matches the Rfam family "5.8S ribosomal RNA", at positions 35 to 154 of the family's 154-position model. The record is from RNAcentral.
GAUGAAGAACGUAGCGAAAUGCGAUACUUGGUGUGAAUUGCAGAAUCCCGUGAACCAUCGAGUCUUUGAACGCAAGUUGCGCCCGAAGCCAUUAGGCCGAGGGCACGCCUGCCUGGGCGUCACACGUCGUUGCCCCCCCAUCUACUCCUUCGGGAUUGCGGGGGGCGGAUGAUGGCCUCCCGUGCGCCACGCCGCGCGGUUGGCAUAAAUGCCAAUUCCUCGGCGACGCACGCCACGACAAUCGGUGGUUGCGAAACCUCGGUUGCCCGUCGUGUGCGGUCGUCGCGCAUCGAGGGCUCGAAAAAAUUGCCGGGUUCCGGCUCGGCUUUCAACGCGACCCCAGGUCAGGCGGGGUUACCCGCUGAAUUUAAGCAUAUCAAUAAGCGGAGGA